CCAAGGAGUACCCGCUGAAUUUAAGCAUAUAAGUAAGCGGAGGACAAGAAACUAAACAGGAUUCCCUUAGUAAUGGCGAAUGAACAGGGAUGAGCUCAGCAUGGAAAUCGGGGUCUCCCGACCUUGAAUUGUAGUCUGUAGAUGUACUGCCAACGGAGGCGCAGAUGUAAGCCUCUUGGAAAAGAGCAUCAACGAGGGUGAGAGUCCCGUUUGUCAUCUGCAGUCCCCCGUGCACGGUGUGCCUUCUAAGAGUCACGUUCCUCGGGAUUGGAGCGCAAAGUGGGUGGUAAAUUUCAUCUAAAGCUAAAUAUUGGUUCGAGACCGAUAGCAAACAAGUACCAUGAGGGAAAGGUGAAAAGGACUUUGAAAAGAGAGUUAAAAGUGCCUGAAAUUGCUGAAAGGGAAGCGAAUGGAACCAGUGUUCUUGAUGAGAUUGUUGCGUACUCUGGUGAUUGCUGGGUGUUCCACCGCAAGGGGGGCAUCUAGUUUUGAGCUAGAUGUGCGUGGUGUUUCUUGUCUUGUGUGUCACCGUCGGUGCACGAGCGAGUAAACCUCCAGGGGGCUGGUAACUCGACCACGGUUGAGUGAAUACCUUUGGCAGUACUCAUUUGUGUAUCGAUCCCUGCGUGUCUGGUUGCAGUGUUUGGGUCGCCUGGAAACUCCUGAAGGGCUUGUCCUCGAAGGAGUCCUUUUGGGCGCCCUGAGCAUCUCCCUGACACAAAGACGAUGACUAAAUGGUUCUAUUCGACC
This 750-nucleotide ribosomal RNA is filed under the name Azadinium spinosum. RNAcentral describes it as "LSU rRNA". It matches the Rfam family "Eukaryotic large subunit ribosomal RNA", at positions 17 to 649 of the family's 3401-position model. The record is from RNAcentral. Lineage: Eukaryota; Dinophyceae; Gonyaulacales; Amphidomataceae.